RNAcentral lists this ribosomal RNA (1233 nucleotides) under Enterococcus faecium. RNAcentral's name for it is "bacterial SSU rRNA". It matches the Rfam family "Bacterial small subunit ribosomal RNA", at positions 218 to 1444 of the family's 1533-position model. RNAcentral also lists the same sequence under 1 other name. The record is from RNAcentral. Lineage: Bacteria; Bacillati; Bacillota; Bacilli; Lactobacillales; Enterococcaceae.
CUGAUGGAUGGACCCGCGGUGCAUUAGCUAGUUGGUGAGGUAACGGCUCACCAAGGCCACGAUGCAUAGCCGACCUGAGAGGGUGAUCGGCCACAUUGGGACUGAGACACGGCCCAAACUCCUACGGGAGGCAGCAGUAGGGAAUCUUCGGCAAUGGACGAAAGUCUGACCGAGCAACGCCGCGUGAGUGAAGAAGGUUUUCGGAUCGUAAAACUCUGUUGUUAGAGAAGAACAAGGAUGAGAGUAACUGUUCAUCCCUUGACGGUAUCUAACCAGAAAGCCACGGCUAACUACGUGCCAGCAGCCGCGGUAAUACGUAGGUGGCAAGCGUUGUCCGGAUUUAUUGGGCGUAAAGCGAGCGCAGGCGGUUUCUUAAGUCUGAUGUGAAAGCCCCCGGCUCAACCGGGGAGGGUCAUUGGAAACUGGGAGACUUGAGUGCAGAAGAGGAGAGUGGAAUUCCAUGUGUAGCGGUGAAAUGCGUAGAUAUAUGGAGGAACACCAGUGGCGAAGGCGGCUCUCUGGUCUGUAACUGACGCUGAGGCUCGAAAGCGUGGGGAGCAAACAGGAUUAGAUACCCUGGUAGUCCACGCCGUAAACGAUGAGUGCUAAGUGUUGGAGGGUUUCCGCCCUUCAGUGCUGCAGCUAACGCAUUAAGCACUCCGCCUGGGGAGUACGACCGCAAGGUUGAAACUCAAAGGAAUUGACGGGGGCCCGCACAAGCGGUGGAGCAUGUGGUUUAAUUCGAAGCAACGCGAAGAACCUUACCAGGUCUUGACAUCCUUUGACCACUCUAGAGAUAGAGCUUCCCCUUCGGGGGCAAAGUGACAGGUGGUGCAUGGUUGUCGUCAGCUCGUGUCGUGAGAUGUUGGGUUAAGUCCCGCAACGAGCGCAACCCUUAUUGUUAGUUGCCAUCAUUCAGUUGGGCACUCUAGCAAGACUGCCGGUGACAAACCGGAGGAAGGUGGGGAUGACGUCAAAUCAUCAUGCCCCUUAUGACCUGGGCUACACACGUGCUACAAUGGGAAGUACAACGAGUUGCGAAGUCGCGAGGCUAAGCUAAUCUCUUAAAGCUUCUCUCAGUUCGGAUUGCAGGCUGCAACUCGCCUGCAUGAAGCCGGAAUCGCUAGUAAUCGCGGAUCAGCACGCCGCGGUGAAUACGUUCCCGGGCCUUGUACACACCGCCCGUCACACCACGAGAGUUUGUAACACCCGAAGUCGGUGAGGUAACCUUUU